Molecule: ribosomal RNA, 1323 nt
Filed under: metagenome
Description: bacterial LSU rRNA
Rfam family: Bacterial large subunit ribosomal RNA
Source: RNAcentral
AGUGGAUGGGGAGCAACCUAGUUGUGCGUGUGUAAAGGUAGUGCCAAGAAAAGCGAUGAUCAUGUUGAAAAUCAAUUCCCGGUACCCGAAACCGACACAGGUGGGCAAGUAGAGAAUACUAAGGGGCGCGAGGUAACUCUCUCCAAGGAACUCGGCAAAAUGACCCCGUAACUAGGGAGAAGGGGUGCCACCGAGAGGUGGUCGCAGUGAAGAGGCCCAGGCGACUGUUUAGCAAAAACAUAGGUCUCUGCAAACUCGAAAGAGGAGGUAUAGGGGCUGACGCCUGCCCAGUGCCGGAAGGUUAAAGAAGUUGGUCAGUUUUAGGAUGAAGCUAGCGACUGAAGCCCCGGUGAACGGCGGCCGUAACUAUAACGGUCCUAAGGUAGCGAAAUUCCUUGUCGGGUAAGUUCCGACCCGCACGAAAGGCGUAACGAUCUGGGCGCUGUCUCGGAGAGAGGCUCGGCGAAAUAGGAUUGUCUGUGAAGAUACGGACUACCUGCAUUUGGACAGAAAGACCCUAUGAAGCUUUACUAUAGCUUGGAAUUGUGUUCGGGCUUCCUGUGCGCAGGAUAGGUGGGAGGCGUAGAAGGUAUUCUUGUGGGGAUACUGGAGCCAACGGUGAGAUACCACUCUCAGGAGGCUAGGAUUCUAACUUAAUUAAGGACAGUUUCAGGUGGGUAGUUUGACUGGGGCGGUCGCCUCCAAAAAGGUAACGGAGUCGUACAAAGGUUCCCUCAGACUGGUUGGAAAUCAGUCGAAGAGUGCAAAGGCAGAAGGGAGCUUGACUGCGAGAAGUACAGUUCGAGCAGGGUGGAAACACGGUCUUAGUGAUCCGACGGUGCUGUGUGGAAGGGCCGUCGCUCAACGGAUAAAAGUUACUCUAGGAUAACAGGCUGAUCUCCCCCAAGAGUUCACAUCGACGGGGAGGUUUGGCACCUCGAUGUCGGCUCAUCGCAACCUGGGGCGGAAGUACGUCCCAAGGGUUGGGCUGUUCGCCCAUUAAAGCGGUACGUGAGCUGGGUUCAGAACGUCGUGAGACAGUUCGGUCCAUAUCCGAUGUAGGCGUGAGAAUAUUGAGAGGAGCCUUCCUUAGUACGAGGGGACCGGGAAGGACGCACCGCUGGUGUACCUGUUAUGAUGCCAAUUGUAAACGCAGGGUAGCCAAGUGCGGAGAGGAUAACCGCUGAAAGCAUCUAAGUGGGAAGCCCACCUCAAGAUGAGUAUUCUGGUGUAAGGUCACGGGAAGACGACCCGUAAAUAGGCACGAGGUGGAAGUGCAGAGAUGUAUGAAGCCGAAGUGUACUAAUAGACCGUCGGCUUGAC